CGGGGUAUGCGGUUAAUCCAAUGUGCAUGGUGCACAGUUAAUGGAUUAUAUACUAUAUGAUUAAAUCAACAUUGUAUCAAAUUAUUUUAUCUUGGUACAUAGUUAAGGUAUCAUGGUAUAUCGUUAAACAUGAUAAAUAGUUGUUGCAGCGAAAAUCCAUCUUUGGUUCAGAUUGACUGGAGCCAGGCAGUGAUUGCGGAUCGACGAUGGUGGUGGUGGAACCUAUAAGAAAAGUCUCCAACAAGAGUUGGCUCUAGUGGGGACCCUCCGAUGUUCAAGUUAGAUCUCUGAUACAGAUGGAAAGGAGUGAGCGUGUAGGAAGAAAAGAGGUUUCAUAUUUUGGAGGUCUCUUAUAGAC
RNAcentral lists this long non-coding RNA (358 nucleotides) under Elaeis guineensis (African oil palm). RNAcentral's name for it is "long non-coding RNA (EGUI_LNC038289)". The record is from RNAcentral. Lineage: Eukaryota; Viridiplantae; Streptophyta; Magnoliopsida; Arecales; Arecaceae.